CAAACACAGACCAGAGGGGUGAUGCUAGAAGGAAAGAACAGGGACAAGAGUCAGGGAAAGCUGAGGAGGAAGGGCAGAGAAUCAUAAAUCAUGGAAGGUGCUCCUGAGACGGGAACAUGAUCAGUAUCUCAGAGAGGCAGACAAGGAAAACGUCAGAAGAGAAACUUACCGGACAUAGAGAUAGAGAAGUGAGAUACGCAAAGGGCACAGGCAAGGUACAGCAGUUGCUACUACACUGAGCUUUGAAGGAGCCUGGGCUUUGAAGAUGCAAUGGGCCUAGGUUCUACCCUUGAGGACAAGACCAAAUCCCAUGCCCUCUCUUAAUCAUCAGCAUCUAGCACUGUGCCCAACCAUAAUGAAGUAACAAUAAAUGUCCAUUGGAUUAG
This 386-nucleotide long non-coding RNA is filed under the name Pan troglodytes (chimpanzee). RNAcentral describes it as "long non-coding RNA NONPTRT014576". Lineage: Eukaryota; Metazoa; Chordata; Mammalia; Primates; Hominidae. The record is from RNAcentral.